Molecule: long non-coding RNA, 1678 nt
Organism: Calypte anna (Anna's hummingbird)
Lineage: Eukaryota; Metazoa; Chordata; Aves; Apodiformes; Trochilidae
Exons: 3
Source: RefSeq, a predicted model, not a curated record
GCGGGACGGGGUCCGGACGGGCUCCCCCCACCUGCGGUGACAGCCUGUUCACGGCCCAUUAAUGCCACUGGGAUGUGAGUGAGGGAGAUCAGACGAGGUUACCAGUUCUGAUAUUUCUGGAGGUGAUUUAAAAGCACUUAAAAAUACUGAAUAAAAAGCAAGCCAGACCACACCUGAAGUACCAGGCACAGCAAUAGGUUCCUCCUCUCACCCUUUCCCUUGCUGCUGCAGUGCUGCAUCUCUUCCUCCCUCCAACUGCCUGGACCACCAGCUGAACACUCCACUGGUUCCCUGGGCUCUGUUUCAUCAGUACCUUUCACUACCAGGACACUGUUCUGCAGUUUGUCUCAAAAGCUGGGAUAGCUGUAGAUAAUCAUGGCAUCCAUUCUUUUCCACGGGUAUUUUAUCUGAAAUAAAACAUCAGGUUAUGAGGUUUGGGGAUGCACGGAGUACAACAACUCAGCCAUUGGUGUUCAUUUCAGUAGCUGCUGUUUGAGACCUCAUCUGAACUCCAUCAAUACAACUAUUUAUGAGUAGGCUGGUUUAAGAUAACUGCUCUUAGUGCCUCAUGUGACCACCAUCUUCUGACCUUCUUUACAUGAAUUUAUCAAGUGCCUUGUGCCUUCGGGAUGGCUGUAAAUAGAAAUACAUUAUUUCCUUCAAGGAUGGCUGUAGCAGAUCUGGUUUAGUAUUUCAGAGUUGUCUCUGCAGGAUGCUCGAGGCCAUUCCUGCUGCAGCCAGAGGCAAAGCUUUUAUUGAUUCCAAGGAAAGUGACAUCAGUACCAGGUUCCUUAGGCUGCUUGGAACCACACAAAUGUUUGGAUGGAAAACACAGGCAAGAAUUAGAAUAACGUUUUCAUUUGGAGUCAGCACUAGGCAGAUGGUGUGCUGAGUCUGGGCUAUACUUUAAUGUGACAUUUAUGUAGGAAUAGAUACUUUAUUUAAAAAUUAAACUUUUGAAAGCCACUGCAGUCCUGCAUUUAGACUGCAGCUUGGAGUGCUGACAGGGAAUUGAAGUUCCCCUUCCUCUGCUGCCGUUACCCACAGGAGAAGGUACAAAUGGAGUUAUCCCUACUGAAGCCACUUACAUUUAAUUUCUCCACAGCAAAAAAUGUUUCAAAAGCAGCAACAUGAGGCUUUAAUGUCAUUUUCAAAGGCUGAGGUUUGAAACUGAGAAGAGGUUUGGUUUCCAGGGCUGCAAUUACAUUGCCACAGCUAAGGAAUGUAAUUUUUAUUUAGUCAGUUCUCUCAUCAUCAGAGGUGGUGUAGUGGGGUGGGACCACUCCUGAACCAUUAGGGCUCUGUCAUUUAACUUUGCUGUCCUGUUAUAAGAAGGGUGAGGGCAGUUUGUGCUUUAGGAUAUAGCACAGACACAACACCAGCUCUCCAAGUUCUGCAUAACUUCAGUUUUUUGCAGCAGAUUUCAUUCAGUCUAGGUUUAUUGAUUGGUUGUUUUUUAUUUGGGUUUUGUUUGUUUGAUUUGGUUUUGUUGUUUGGUUUGGUUGUGUGGUUUUGGGUUUGUUUGCUGCUGCUAUGAAGUUUCCACUCACAGAAAAUCAAGUGCCAUUUGAUUGGAAGUACUUAUGCUCAUUUCCCUUUUGUUCAGAAAGGUUACCAUCAUUUUAUACAUAUGAGAUUUUUUUCAGAAACCUAUUUUUCUGCAUCAGUUUGCCUUUAA